This 476-nucleotide ribosomal RNA is filed under the name uncultured bacterium. RNAcentral describes it as "partial 16S ribosomal RNA". It matches the Rfam family "Bacterial small subunit ribosomal RNA", at positions 28 to 507 of the family's 1533-position model. The record is from RNAcentral.
GACGAACGCUGGCGGCGUGCCUAAUACAUGCAAGUCGAGCGAUGAAGCUUGGUUCUUGCACCAAUUUGAAGAGCAGCGAACGGGUGAGUAACGCGUGGGGAAUCUCCCUUUGAGCGGGGGACAACCUUUGGAAACGAAUUCUAAUACCGCAUAACAACUUUAAACAUAAGGUUUAAGUUUGAAAGAUGCCAUUGCGUCACUCAGAGAUGAACCCGCGGUGUGUUAGCUAGUUGGUGGGGUAAAGGCUCACUAAGGCGUUGAUGGGUAGCCGGCCUGAGAGGGUGACCGGACACAUGGGGACUGAGAUACGGCCCAGACUCGUACGGGAGGCAGGAGUGGGGAAUAUUGAACAAUGGGCGGAAGCCUGAUGCAGCAACGCCGCGUGCGGGAUGACGGCCGUCGGGUUGUAAACCGCUUUCGCCUGUGACGAAGCGUGAGUGACGGUAAUGGGUAAAGAAGCACCGGCUAACUACGUG